Molecule: long non-coding RNA, 223 nt
Filed under: Helianthus annuus (common sunflower)
Lineage: Eukaryota; Viridiplantae; Streptophyta; Magnoliopsida; Asterales; Asteraceae
Description: sRNA HanXRQr2_Chr15g0722211
Source: RNAcentral
UGUUGAGAAGUUGGUUUUGAAGGUGCGUGUGAAAGAGUAAUUGUUUUAUUGUGAUAUCCCACUAGGUUUAUAUGUAAUCUGUGGCAGUGGCAGGAACUGGAGAAGGAAGAACUUCCCCCUCCUCAUAUGACUCGGGUUUCCGAAGCUGAGAUAAAAAAGGGCUUAGAAGGUGGAGAGGGAUGCUACGGGUACAAUGAGUAGAAAAAGGAUGGAAUUUCUGGAU